AAAGAGCUCGUAGGCGGUUUGUCGCGUCGGCUGUGAAAACCUGAGGCUCAACCUCGGGCCUGCAGUCGAUACGGGCAAACUAGAGUUCGGUAGGGGAGACUGGAAUUCCUGGUGUAGCGGUGGAAUGCGCAGAUAUCAGGAGGAACACCGGUGGCGAAGGCGGGUCUCUGGGCCGAAACUGACGCUGAGGAGCGAAAGCGUGGGGAGCGAACAGGAUUAGAUACCCGAGU
Molecule: ribosomal RNA, 230 nt
Filed under: uncultured bacterium
Lineage: Bacteria
Description: partial 16S ribosomal RNA
Rfam family: Bacterial small subunit ribosomal RNA
Source: RNAcentral